Long non-coding RNA from Salvia splendens (bonfire salvia), 744 nucleotides. RefSeq lists it as uncharacterized. Lineage: Eukaryota; Viridiplantae; Streptophyta; Magnoliopsida; Lamiales; Lamiaceae. The transcript has 3 exons. The record is from RefSeq and is a predicted model, not a curated record.
CUUCUCCCCCAAUUUCACAAAAUGCACAACCUCUUUCUUUCCCCUCUCUCUCUCGUCACCGAUCCGCCGCCCUGCCAGCGGCGGCGCCCCUUCUUUCUCCAUUGUCACUCUCCCUCUCGGUCAGAUUUGCCGCACCGCCGCAACCGCUGCGGGCACGAGACGCACCACCACCACCACCACCGUGCGCAGCACAGUCUCCGCUGUCAUCUCCAGAUUUUCCCGUCGUUCAGACCAGCCGCCGUCGUCACGAAUCCUCCGUCGCGGAUCCGCCGUCGUCGGCUACUUCCUCCAUCAUCUUCUCAUCUCCAUUCCUCUCUCUCGGCUCCCUCCCUCUAUUCUCUCUCGGAUCUGCCGCCAUUACGCCGACUUCCGUGAGGAAAAUUCUUUACUGCCAACUUCCCACUGCUACGUCCUCUCUCUUUCUGCCUUGUUGGAAGUAAUUAGGAGGAGUAUGUUGUUUGUUGGUGGGGUAGUGAAAGUAAUUGUUGGUUGGAAAAUAUAUAUAUUUAGGAAUAUAACAAGUGGCGUGACAAAAUCACCCAAAUAUUCUUCUGCCAGAGGAAAUGAAGAUUAUUCUGACAUCUCACUUAAUGCACAUUAAUUGCUGCUGCUGAAAAAAAUCUGAUCAGGAGGAAACUCGGUUCAAGCUCGUGGUGUCCGCGUUAAAGUAUCCGCUUUCUUAAAACAUACAUUGUAUAAAUUAAAUUUUGUUGGAUGUAUCGGACAUUAAAAUUCUGAUUAUGG